GCCCGCGUAGCUCAGUGGGAGAGCGACGCCUUCACACGGCGUAGGUCGGGGGUUCGACACCCUCCGCGGGCA
RNAcentral lists this transfer RNA (72 nucleotides) under Micromonospora craterilacus. It matches the Rfam family "tRNA". Rfam says of the family: Transfer RNA (tRNA) molecules are approximately 80 nucleotides in length. Their secondary structure includes four short double-helical elements and three loops (D, anti-codon, and T loops). The record is from Rfam by way of RNAcentral. Lineage: Bacteria; Bacillati; Actinomycetota; Actinomycetes; Micromonosporales; Micromonosporaceae.